RNAcentral lists this ribosomal RNA (506 nucleotides) under uncultured bacterium. Its description in RNAcentral is "partial 16S ribosomal RNA". It matches the Rfam family "Bacterial small subunit ribosomal RNA", at positions 28 to 523 of the family's 1533-position model. The record is from RNAcentral.
GAUGAACGCUAGCUACAGGCUUAACACAUGCAAGUCGAGGGGUAACGAGAGGAGAGCUUGCUUUCCUUGUCGACGACCGGCGCACGGGUGAGUAACGCGUAUCCAACCUGCCCCCAACUAGGGAAUAACCUUGCGAAAGUAAGACUAAUACCCUAUAAUUUCCUCAGAUGUCAUCUGACGAGGAAUAAAGAUUUAACGGUUGUGGAUGGGGAUGCGUCUGAUUAGCUUGUUGGCGGGGUAACGGCCCACCAAGGCAACGAUCAGUAGGGGUUCUGAGAGGAAGGUCCCCCACAUUGGAACUGAGACACGGUCCAAACUCCUACGGGAGGCAGCAGUGAGGAAUAUUGGUCAAUGGGCGGAAGCCUGAACCAGCCAAGUAGCGUGCAGGAUGGCGGCCCUAUGGGUUGUAAACUGCUUUUAUACAGGAAUAAAGUUAGCCACGUGUGGUUAUUUGUAGGUACUGUAUGAAUAAGGACCGGCUAAUUCCGUGCCAGCCGCCGCAGUAA